CCUUUCUUUAGAAAAAACAGAGAGCAAAGCUCUCUCUCAGGCCUCUAACCGACCAUGGUUGUCGGCUUUAGCGCCACCGCCGUAGCACCACCGUGGACGGUGGCCGACGUUGCGCAAAAGAAGCCUUUUAGCCCCGAUUCACAACACACACGAAAACCAGGCCUUCCUAGCCCGAAAGAUAUGAAAAAGGAGGGGUCUUUCGUACCCCUUUCAGUCCGAUUCCAACGCCGAAAAUGGUCUCCGACGACGGGCUUUCGAGACAGGUGAGCAGUUGGGAGCAGGUGAGCGGCGAUGGGACGUGCGCGGCGGCCAGCAGAACGGCAGUGGCAGGGCAAGUGGGGUGCGGCAGCACUAGGGUUUCAAAAAGCUGAAACCCUAGUUUGACCCUUAGUAUUUGGGCUUGGGUCUUGGUUUGGGCUGAAGGGUAUUGGGUUAGUUGGGCUGGUGGGUUAGUUUAAUUGGUUUAGUUUUUUUAUGUUUUUGUAAUUGGGCCCGGGCAAAUGGGCUUGUACACUUGGAAUAUAAAGUUUAACCUUGAGACGAGUAGAUUCAUGAAAUAAAUCUGUGGAAAUGGCAUUCGAAAAA
RNA transcript from Gossypium raimondii (Peruvian cotton), 585 nucleotides. RefSeq lists it as uncharacterized. The record is from RefSeq and is a predicted model, not a curated record. The transcript is spliced from 2 exons. Lineage: Eukaryota; Viridiplantae; Streptophyta; Magnoliopsida; Malvales; Malvaceae.